Molecule: ribosomal RNA, 1641 nt
Filed under: Sorites sp. 214j
Lineage: Eukaryota; Foraminifera; Miliolida; Soritidae
Description: SSU rRNA
Rfam family: Eukaryotic small subunit ribosomal RNA
Source: RNAcentral
UACUAAUGCAACUGCGAAUAGCUGUUUAAUACAGUCGUAAUUGUAUUGACUUAUAUAAAUAUUUGAUAGUUAUUUAUUUGGAUAACUAAGGGAAAGUUUGGCUAAUACGUAUAAAAUAUAAUAAUACAUUAUGCACAUAAUAAUAUUUAUAUAUGAUAAAUAUUAUGUAAAUGAAAGUAUUUUUUUACUUUAAUAGAGCAGACUUUAUAAUAUUUAAUUAUUAUAAAGCAUGUCAAACAAGCAUCUAUAGCAUCAAGUCACAAUGUUGGCAUGUGUAUUAUUGAACCUUCAAAGCAUUUACGCAUUCGGAGGAGUAGUUUCUGAUCCCGUCGAAGGUGCCUGAGAGACGGCACUUAGUUCUAAGGAACGCAGCAGGCGCGUAAAUUGCCCAAUGACAAAACAUGUUUUAAAAACUCAAUAUAUAAUAUUUUUAUUGAGGCAGUGACAAGCUGUAAAGAUUGAAUAUAUUAAUUAAGAUAACAUUUGGAAUUGUCGUUUUAUAAUAUUUUUAAUAUUAUAUUACUUGAUAAUAUACCAAUGUUAUAAAAUAUUCAAUUUGAAUGCGGUGAAUCUAAUAAUUUCAAGUAACAUGUAUAAAAUAUUUAUAUUUUAUUAGUUAUCUGAAUUUUCAAGUGGAGGGCAAGUCUGGUGCCAGCAGCCGCGGUAAUACCAGCUCCACUAGCUUAUACAAUCAUUGUUGCGGUUAAGAGGCUCGUAGUUGGAUUGAAUACAUUUUUUACAAUACUGUGAACAAACCAGAGUGUAUAAAACAUGUAAUAUAUUAUAUAUUUAGCAAUGAAUGUUUUAUCAUGGAAUAUUGCUUUUUAAUAUAAUAUCGAUGGAGAUAGUUGGAGUUAAGAGUACUGAUAGGCGAGCGGUGAAAUGCAUUGACCCUAUUAAGACUAACAAAAGCGAAAGCACUUAACUAGAUUAUUCUCUUUGUAUUAUUACAAUGAAGAGCGAAGGUUGGGGGAACAAAGAGGAUCAGAUACCCUCGUAGUCCUAUUUUUACAUCAAACUAUGGGAUUUCAAUUACUGUACACCUCUAUAUUUAAUUAUUUAUUAUAAUAUAAUUGAGUACUUAAUUGUUUACUCUUAUAUUUAAUAUAUAUUAUUUUUAUAAUUGAUUAUAUGUACUUUGAGCUCAUAUAAUUAUAUAGGUGAGAUGUAAGCAUUAUAGGUGAGUAAUUAUAAGUAAUAUUAUAUAUUAUGAUCCUUAAUAAAAUGUAAUGUGAUGCACGUUUUAGGUACGAGCUUAGUAUAGAAAUAUUUAAAAUAAUACCCUCCUGGGGUAGUAUGCACGCACGUGUGAAACUUGAAGGAAUUGACGGAAGGGCACCACAAGAACGCGUGGAGCAUGUGGCUUAAUUUGACUCAACCCGGGAAAUCUUACCAGGUCCAGACAUAUUGAGGAUUGACAGGCGAUAGUAUAUAAAAAUAUAUAUUUUUAUAUGCAUAAAAAUGAUAGUCCUUUCAUGAUUAUAUGAUAGGUGGUGCAUGGCCGUUCUUAGUUCGUGGAGUGAUUUGUCUGCUUAAUUGCGUUUCAGUAAAUAAAAUAUAUGAUAUAUUAUAAUAUUUAGUUCUGCCUUUAUGGAUUUAAAGUGAACAUAUUAUAUAUAUUAUUAUAUAAUAAAUGAAUGC